Phalacrocorax carbo (great cormorant) is the source of this 1176-nucleotide non-coding RNA. The record is from RefSeq and is a predicted model, not a curated record. NCBI's taxonomy places the organism in Eukaryota, Metazoa, Chordata, Aves, Suliformes, Phalacrocoracidae.
AGAAGUGGCUGUUGAAUCAAUUCAAGCAGUACCAUGCAUGAAAAGUAACAAUUCAUCCAGCAUUCUUCCCCAGGUGACAGAAGAAAAUACAGUGCUCAGUUGCUAACAUCGCCCCAGAUGACAUCAGCUCUGCUUUUUCCAGUGGUCAUCUUCCAGUGCAGCUAUCUAAACGACAGCCAGAGGAGUCAAGAGCAUUAGAUGAAGCAGAUCAAAACAGACAGCAACACGUGCCAGCAUCCACCAGGAAGGGGACAUCCUGCAACAAGAAGCCACAAAGUAUGUAAAACAAUGUGCUUCAGAUUAGACUUUCCUAAAUGCCCUUCAUCACCGCAGUGCUGAAUGUUCUAGCUGGCAGCUCAUCUUGAGCUCUCUUUGAAAUUCAAGUGAUGGACAUGAUCCUUAAAUAUGGGACUGAUCAUAAAACCCAAAGCAAACCUAUUGCUCACCUUCAAUACAUUUUGAUCAAGUGCCAGAAAAGAGCAAAAGUUAUCUGUAGAAUAGGAAUAUAAAUCUGUAGGUUUCACCAAAUUUCCAUUUGUAGAAUUUUCUGGGCAAGGCCAAAUAAAUAGGGCAAUAGUUUGGGUUUUUUUCUUGGAUGUUCAUUUUUUUGGUUACAGAUAUACAGUAAUUUAUAGUUGUAUUUUUUAGCACUGCAGGUGAUAGCCAGGAGAGUUCUGAACUACUUAGUUUUGAACAAUUUUCCAAUUUUUCUUUGUCAAGAGUUAAGAAAAUUUAUAUUAUUCCAUUCUAUCAAAGAUACAGGUAAAUGAGACACAAUUGUGUACCAGAAAUGGUGGGAAAAGAAACAGGUAACUGAUGCAAUUAAUAUAUUUUGUAAUAGUGUACUGGGUUACAAAUUAUUUUGACUGCGUGAUUAAAAAAAAAAACAACCACAGGCUGCAAAGAUAAAAAUACAACACCACAAUUUCAGGGACUUCACAGAUGUUCAGUGUACAUACUGUUGCAUACAUUUUUAAGGAAAGCACAUGCCUGUUCCCAACCAGCUAAAAUACAGUCCAAACAAAAUGGCAAUUAAAAGGCAACAGAGAGAGAACACUCAUGGAGGGAAAAACCACAAUCAUAAUAAUCACCAGAAGGCCAAUUUACCACCCUUCCUGCAGAGAACUGCAUAUAUAAUGUGACCAUAGUUCAGAAUAUGAAGAAACAAGAAACAUU